This 666-nucleotide ribosomal RNA is filed under the name uncultured Pseudomonas sp. RNAcentral's name for it is "bacterial SSU rRNA". It matches the Rfam family "Bacterial small subunit ribosomal RNA", at positions 70 to 732 of the family's 1533-position model. The record is from RNAcentral. Lineage: Bacteria; Pseudomonadati; Pseudomonadota; Gammaproteobacteria; Pseudomonadales; Pseudomonadaceae.
UGAAGAGAGCUUGCUCUCUGAUUCAGCGGCGGACGGGUGAGUAAUGCCUAGGAAUCUGCCUGGUAGUGGGGGACAACGUCUCGAAAGGGACGCUAAUACCGCAUACGUCCUACGGGAGAAAGCAGGGGACCUUCGGGCCUUGCGCUAUCAGAUGAGCCUAGGUCGGAUUAGCUAGUUGGUGAGGUAAUGGCUCACCAAGGCGACGAUCCGUAACUGGUCUGAGAGGAUGAUCAGUCACACUGGAACUGAGACACGGUCCAGACUCCUACGGGAGGCAGCAGUGGGGAAUAUUGGACAAUGGGCGAAAGCCUGAUCCAGCCAUGCCGCGUGUGUGAAGAAGGUCUUCGGAUUGUAAAGCACUUUAAGUUGGGAGGAAGGGCAGUAAGCGAAUACCUUGCUGUUUUGACGUUACCGACAGAAUAAGCACCGGCUAACUCUGUGCCAGCAGCCGCGGUAAUACAGAGGGUGCAAGCGUUAAUCGGAAUUACUGGGCGUAAAGCGCGCGUAGGUGGUUUGUUAAGUUGAAUGUGAAAUCCCCGGGCUCAACCUGGGAACUGCAUCCAAAACUGGCAAGCUAGAGUAGGGCAGAGGGUGGUGGAAUUUCCUGUGUAGCGGUGAAAUGCGUAGAUAUAGGAAGGAACACCAGUGGCGAAGGCGACCACCUGG